RNAcentral lists this ribosomal RNA (1896 nucleotides) under Triticum aestivum (bread wheat). RNAcentral's name for it is "partial small subunit ribosomal RNA". The record is from RNAcentral. Lineage: Eukaryota; Viridiplantae; Streptophyta; Magnoliopsida; Poales; Poaceae.
AUGGAGCCGGGCGGGCCGUGGCGCGAUCCGCGCCAGGGGUACAUCUACGGGCUCGGAUCGCCGAUGCAGAUGCCGGCGCAGCAGCGCUCCGACCCGGCCGCGGCUGGCGGGGUUCUCAAGCGGAGCCUCGGCGAGUUAGAGAGGUGGCAGCACCAGCGCCAGUUCGCCAUGCAGCAGGAGCUCUACUUGCGCGCCGUCAGGCAGCGCACGGCCGCCACGUCGCCGGCCGUCUCCCCGCUUACGUCGGCGGACAUCGCCGCGGUGCUCGGCGGGGUCCCGGCCCAGCCCUUCUUCUCCGGGUCGAGCCUCGGCGGUGGCCUCGCGUCCCCUUCGUCCACGCUGUCGUCCCUCACGACCGCGUCCAGGGCGGCCAUGCCGCUGAUUCAGCACCAUGUGCAUCGGCAGACGCCGUUAGUGCCGUCCUCGGCGCACGCGCAGACGCAGGCACAGGCGCAUGCUCUCGCGGUGGCGAGGGUGCCGGCUCCCUCGGCGGUUGGGAGCGAGCUGUCCAUCCUGCAGGACUUGGAGAAGCAACUGCUCGGCGACGACGACGAGGCUGAGCCGGCGAUGAGCGGAACCGGUUCUACGGUCACCAGCUCCGAGUGGGAGGAGACCAUACAGCGGCUCAACUCAAUCACGGCCGCUUCGUCUCCUCCACUCUACGCGGAGGCGACUCCGAACAAUAAGAACAACUACAGCGCGGCGAUGACGGGGUCGCCAUCGAACUCGUCCACUUCCACGGCUUCUUCCUCGGCUUCCUGCUCACCGCCAAUCUCGGCCACCACGUCGCGUCAAUUACUCUCCGAAGCAGCGGCUGCCAUCGCCGACGGCAACCUUGAAACGGCGGCCGCUAAUCUGGCAACUCUCAAGCGUGCUGCUAACCCGCGCGGUGACGCGGAACAGCGGCUGGUGGCCGUGAUGGUGGCCGCCCUGUCUUCGCGCAUUGCGCCCACUGCCUCGGCAUCGUCCCAGCAGCUCGCUGACCUCUGCGGCGCCGAGCACCAUACCGGGUCCCAGCUCCUCCACGACAUCACGCCCUGCUUCCGCCUCGCCCUCGACGCCGCUAACAUCGCCAUCGUUGAGGCCGUCGCCGGCCACCGCGUCAUACAUCUGGUGGACUUCGACAUCAACGCCCCGCAGCACGCGGCUCUCAUCCAGCGCCUCGCCGACCGGCGCGUGCCGGGGACAUGCCUGCAGGUGACGGCUGUAACCGAUCCCACCUCACCGUUUACGCAGUCCCUAGCAGCGACGCUGCCCGGCGUCGGGGAGCGGCUCAAGAAGCUGGCGGAGCUCGCCGGCAUAGAGUACCACUUCAGAAUGAUCAGCUGCAGAGCAGUCGAGAUUGAGGCAUCCAAGCUGGGGUGCGAGCCCGGGGAGGCGCUGGCCGUCAACCUCGCCUUCGCGCUCUCGCACGUGCCUGACGAGAGCGUCUCGCCGGCGAACCCCCGCGACGAGCUUCUCCGCCGCGUGCGCGCUCUCGGCCCGCAGGUGGUGACACUCGUGGAGCAGGAGCUGAACUCCAACACCGCCCCGCUGGCCACGCGCUUCUCGGACGCGUACUUGCACUACGGAGCCAUUCUCGAUGCACUGGACUCGACGGUCAGCCGGGAUAGCGCGGACAGGGCGCGGGCAGAGGAGGCGGUGGCAAACAUGUCGGCCAACGCGGUUGGCCGGGAGGGUGCCGAUCGGCUGGAGCGGUGCGAGGUCUUCGGCAAAUGGCGCGCGCGGUUCGGCAUGGCCGGUUUCCGGCCGGUGGCGCUCGCCGCGGGCAUUGCCGACCAGGUCAUGGCGCGCGCCGGCGCUCCCCCGCCAGGCCUCGUCGUGAAACCGGAGAACGGCGUGCUCCGGCUCGGAUGGAAGCAGCGCGUGGUGGCCGUCGCCUCCGCCUGGCGCUAA